RNAcentral lists this ribosomal RNA (256 nucleotides) under uncultured bacterium. Its description in RNAcentral is "partial 16S ribosomal RNA". It matches the Rfam family "Bacterial small subunit ribosomal RNA", at positions 524 to 776 of the family's 1533-position model. The record is from RNAcentral.
UACAGAGGGUGCAAGCGUUGUUCGGAAUCAUUGGGCGUAAAGGGCGCGUAGGCGGUUUUUGUAAGUCGAAUGUGAAAGCCCCAGGGCUCAACCUUGGAAGUGCAUCCGAAACUGCGAAACUUGAAUCCUGGAGAGGGUGGUAGAAUUCCCAGUGUAGAGGUGAAAUUCGUAGAUAUUGGGAGGAAUACCGGUGGCGAAGGCGACCGCCCUGGACAGAGAUUGACGCUGAGGCGCGAGAGCGUGGGGAGCAGACAGG